RNAcentral lists this ribosomal RNA (487 nucleotides) under uncultured bacterium. RNAcentral's name for it is "bacterial SSU rRNA". It matches the Rfam family "Bacterial small subunit ribosomal RNA", at positions 501 to 987 of the family's 1533-position model. The record is from RNAcentral.
CUACGUGCCAGCAGCCGCGGUAAUACGUAGGGUGCGAGCGUUAAUCGGAAUUACUGGGCGUAAAGCGAGCGCAGAUGGUUACUUAAGCAGGAUGUGAAAUCCCCGGGCUCAACCUGGGAACUGCGUUCUGAACUGGGUGACUAGAGUGUGUCAGAGGGAGGUAGAAUUCCACGUGUAGCAGUGAAAUGCGUAGAGAUGUGGAGGAAUACCGAUGGCGAAGGCAGCCUCCUGGGAUAACACUGACGUUCAUGCUCGAAAGCGUGGGUAGCAAACAGGAUUAGAUACCCUGGUAGUCCACGCCCUAAACGAUGUCAAUUAGCUGUUGGGCAACUUGAUUGUUCAGUAGCGUAGCUAACGCGUGAAAUUGACCGCCUGGGGAGUACGGUCGCAAGAUUAAAACUCAAAGGAAUUGACGGGGACCCGCACAAGCGGUGGAUGAUGUGGAUUAAUUCGAUGCAACGCGAAGAACCUUACCUGGUCUUGACAU